CGUACAUUUAGUUAUAGUUGAUAAAUACACAGCAUAUUUAUGCUGAACACACUGCUGUAAGGAGGUCAGAUAAAUCCUCAGACAAAGCCUUUUGAAGUUACGCUCACAGCUCAUAUCAUAUUCCAAAUAAAGCUGAUACAAGGUGCCUGUACCACGUGACUUUUUCGGCUAUGUGUGGGACAAUCGGAUGUCCACAAACCAUCGCUUCAGAACGCCAUUUGUUUGGGAACAGAGGUCAGAGAGGUCAAAACACAGUCGGGAAUCUCCAAACACAAAGCCACCCACGCACGGAAGGAAAAUAUUUCUGUUGCGGCAAACCUUUUCUUG
Long non-coding RNA from Dreissena polymorpha, 327 nucleotides. RefSeq lists it as uncharacterized. The transcript is spliced from 3 exons. The record is from RefSeq and is a predicted model, not a curated record. NCBI's taxonomy places the organism in Eukaryota, Metazoa, Mollusca, Bivalvia, Myida, Dreissenidae.